UGGGGUUUGACCCCAUGAACCAUGAGAUCAUGACCUGAGCCGAAAUCAGAUGCUCAACCGACUGAGACUCCCGGGCGCCCCUCCUUUUGCAACUUUUAAACAAGGAGAAUAAUUGCAUUCAAAAGCAUGUAGGGCUUAUGUAGAUUAUCUUUUUGAUUCAACAAUUAAGAAUAAGGAUUAAAAAGAUUAUCAAACAACUUAUAAAAUUAAAAUCAGUUAAGUAUUAACUGUUUUAAAAAUAUCAAUCAUUAUUCUGCUUGGACAGGAGUAUGGAUUUAUAGGAAGUUAGCUGAGGUCAAGACUAAAGCUAAUCUGUCUAUAACCUCCUCUACAAAGGAAAGCUUGGAUUUUAUAAAUCCAAGAUCAUCUUCCUUGCUCAUUUGAAUGUGAAAUAAUUGCCUCAUUUUAGGAUUUGCUGGGUUCAUUCACAAAAUUAUUUGAAUCAGCUUUUCUUUCUAGUCAAGAAACGCCUGCAUUUUGCAACACAGAAUUAUGCCUCUCUGCGUUUUCCAUUUAAUACUUGGGUUUUCUUUCUACUUCUUCCAGAAAAACCCUGUAAAAAACUCAGAAGGGCUAAUAAAAUCCACAGCAUCUAUCAAUGCACAGAGUUUGCUAAUGUUCCUUGUAUUCCUUUGUCUCAGGAGUCUACUCAUAUGUUUAUUAUUUUCCAAAUAAUUUAAACAUGCAUAUAUUAUGUUUGGGAUUCUUACACUUGAUGUAAUUUUUAAAUCCUAUGACUGUUAAAAUGUUACUCAUGUUUUCAAGGAAAACUCAAUGUCACUUUCUAAAAUAAUGAAAAGCUUCCCAUUUAC
Long non-coding RNA from Leopardus geoffroyi (Geoffroy's cat), 812 nucleotides. RefSeq lists it as uncharacterized. The transcript is spliced from 2 exons. NCBI's taxonomy places the organism in Eukaryota, Metazoa, Chordata, Mammalia, Carnivora, Felidae. The record is from RefSeq and is a predicted model, not a curated record.